GACGAACGCUGGCGGCGUGCUUAACACAUGCAAGUCGAACGCUGAAGACCUGGCUUUUGUUGGGUUGGAUGAGUGGCGAACGGGUGAGUAACACGUGAGUAACCUGCCCUCUUCUUUGGGAUAACGCCCGGAAACGGGUGCUAUACUGGAUAUUCACUGGCCUUCGCAUGGGGGUUGGUGGAAAGGUUUGUUCUGGUGGGGGAUGGGCUCGCGGCCUAUCAGCUUGUUGGUGGGGUGAUGGCCUACCAAGGCUUUGACGGGUAGCCGGCCUGAGAGGGUGACCGGUCACAUUGGGACUGAGAUACGGCCCAGACUCCUACGGGAGGCAGCAGUGGGGAAUAGUGCACAAUGGGCGAAAGCCUGAUGCAGCGACGCCGCGUGAGGGAUGGAGGCCUUCGGGUUGUAAACCUCUUUCGCUCAUGGUCAAGCCGCAACUGUGGGUUGUGGUGAGGGUAGUGGGUAAAGAAGCGCCGGCUAACUACGUG
Molecule: ribosomal RNA, 485 nt
Filed under: uncultured bacterium
Lineage: Bacteria
Description: partial 16S ribosomal RNA
Rfam family: Bacterial small subunit ribosomal RNA
Source: RNAcentral